GCCUGGAUGGCUCAGUUGGUUGAGCGUCUGACUCAUGAUAUCAGCUCAGGUUCGUGAGUUUGAGCCUCGCACCGGGCU
This 78-nucleotide transfer RNA is filed under the name Felis catus (domestic cat). It matches the Rfam family "tRNA". Rfam says of the family: Transfer RNA (tRNA) molecules are approximately 80 nucleotides in length. Their secondary structure includes four short double-helical elements and three loops (D, anti-codon, and T loops). Further hydrogen bonds mediate the characteristic L-shaped molecular structure. tRNAs have two regions of fundamental functional importance: the anti-codon, which is responsible for specific mRNA codon recognition, and the 3' end, to which the tRNAs corresponding amino acid is attached (by aminoacyl-tRNA synthetases). tRNAs cope with the degeneracy of the genetic code in two manners: having more than one tRNA (with a specific anti-codon) for a particular amino acid; and 'wobble' base-pairing, i.e. permitting non-standard base-pairing at the 3rd anti-codon position. Lineage: Eukaryota; Metazoa; Chordata; Mammalia; Carnivora; Felidae. The record is from Rfam by way of RNAcentral.